UCCCUGGUGGCUCAGGUGGUAAAGAAUCUGCUUGCCAAGCAGGAGACCCAGGUUUGAUCCCUGGGUUGGGAA
Molecule: transfer RNA, 72 nt
Filed under: Bos taurus (domestic cattle)
Lineage: Eukaryota; Metazoa; Chordata; Mammalia; Artiodactyla; Bovidae
Also listed under: 4 other names
Rfam family: tRNA
About the family: Transfer RNA (tRNA) molecules are approximately 80 nucleotides in length. Their secondary structure includes four short double-helical elements and three loops (D, anti-codon, and T loops).
Source: Rfam by way of RNAcentral